Molecule: ribosomal RNA, 772 nt
Filed under: Salmonella sp. Trautman ave_2007_05
Lineage: Bacteria; Pseudomonadati; Pseudomonadota; Gammaproteobacteria; Enterobacterales; Enterobacteriaceae
Description: bacterial SSU rRNA
Rfam family: Bacterial small subunit ribosomal RNA
Source: RNAcentral
UGUGGCAGGCAGGCCUAACACAUUGCAAGUCGAACGGUAACAGGAAGCAGCUUGCUGCUUCGCUGACGAGUGGCGGACGGGUGAGUAAUGUCUGGGAAACUGCCUGAAUGGAGGGGGAUAACUACUGGAAACGGUGGCUAAUACCGCAUAACGUCGCAAGACCAAGAGGGGGACCUUCGGGCCUCUUGCCAUCAGAUGUGCCCAGAUGGGAUUAGCUUGUUGGUGAGGUAACGGCUCACCAAGGCGACGAUCCCUAGCUGGUCUGAGAGGAUGACCAGCCACACUGGAACUGAGACACGGUCCAGACUCCUACGGGAGGCAGCAGUGGGGAAUAUUGCACAAUGGGCGCAAGCCUGAUGCAGCCAUGCCGCGUGUAUGAAGAAGGCCUUCGGGUUGUAAAGUACUUUCAGCGGGGAGGAAGGUGUUGUGGUUAAUAACCGCAGCAAUUGACGUUACCCGCAGAAGAAGCACCGGCUAACUCCGUGCCAGCAGCCGCGGUAAUACGGAGGGUGCAAGCGUUAAUCGGAAUUACUGGGCGUAAAGCGCACGCAGGCGGUCUGUCAAGUCGGAUGUGAAAUCCCGGGGCUCACCCUGGGAACUGCAUUCGAAACUGGCAGGCUUGAGUCUGGUAGAGGGGGGUAGAAUCCAGGUGUAGCGGUGAAAUGCGUAGAGAUCUGGAGGAAUACCNGGUGCGAAGGCGGCCCCCUGGACAAAGACUGACGCUCAGGUGCGAAAGCNUGGGACCCACAGGAUUGAUCCGUGGUUUAAAAAA